AGCAGCCGCGGUAAUUCCAGCUCCAAUAGCGUAUAUUAAAGUUGCUGCAGUUAAAAAGCUCGUAGUUGAAUUUCGGGAUCAAUAUGUUGGUCGUGCCUCGGUACGUACUAGCUUAUUGGUUUCUCCCUUCUGACGAACCAUGAUGUCAUUUAUUUGGUGUUAUGGGGAAUCAGGACUGUUACUUUGAAAAAAUUAGAGUGUUUAAAGCAGGCUUACGCUUGAAUACAUUAGCAUGGAAUAAUGAAAUAGGACGUUUGAUUCUAUUUUGUUGGUUUCUAGGAUCGACGUAAUGAUUAAUAGGGAUAGUUGGGGGCAUUAGUAUUCAAUUGUCAGAGGUGAAAUUCUUGGAUUUAUUGAAGACUAACUACUGCGAAAGCAUUUGCCAAGGAUGUUUUCAUUAAUCAAGAACGAAAGUUAGGGGAUCGAAGACGAUCAGAUACCGUCGUAGUCUUAACCAUAAACUAUGCCGACUAGGGAUCGGAUGAUGUUAAUUUUUUAAUGACUCAUUCGGCGCCUUACG
Molecule: ribosomal RNA, 520 nt
Filed under: uncultured Glomeraceae
Lineage: Eukaryota; Fungi; Glomeromycota; Glomeromycetes; Glomerales; Glomeraceae
Description: SSU rRNA
Rfam family: Eukaryotic small subunit ribosomal RNA
Source: RNAcentral